UUGUCGCUCAAAAAUGCAGAGCCACCAAAAUCGUCGCUUCUGCUGCGUUGCUGUGUUCCAGGUUGAAGAAGUUCUUUUUUUUGGCUCUGAUUGCAGCCCAACCCAAUCCAAUGGCCCUAUCUGAAUAGAAGACCAUGGACGAGGAGCUCUAGCAGAGUAACAGUCUUUAAUCUCUUAAUUUUCCUCACUUUUACAGUUUAUCUCCAAUUCUCCUUGGCCAAAAUUUCAAAUUUUCACCUCUCUCAAGUCUCAAUCUCUGACUCUAUCUCUCUGAAAUUUGAAUUUCGCGCAACCGGAAUCCCUAAUUUGGAGCGUCGCCGACUCGCCGUGAGGUUUGCCACUGGUGUUGUCGAAUCGGACUGGUGGUGGUUGGACUGCGUGAGCGUCACUUUGCGAUUGCAACUUGUGAGACUCUAUGGCUCUGCCUCUCUGUCUCUGGUUCUCUGACUCUGCCUCUCUAGCUUUAGAAUCUGGAUCGCUGCUCUUCUCCUCCCCUUUGCUGCUAGUUCAUCAGAAAUGGCAUCGAGUCAAGCUAAUGCAAGUGAAAAUCCGACUAAUAUUCCAACUUCUCAGUCAGGAAGUAUAGCUUGAAUUCCUAGUAAAAGAAAAGUUGCUAAGAAUGCUCUUGGAAGUAGAACUGAUGUAGGAUGGGAGCACGGGAUAUCUGUUGAAAAAAAUGGAAAGAAGAUACAAUCUAAAUACUGUCAUAAAAUUUUUUCAGGGAGAGUUUAUAGAUUGAAACACCACUUAGCAGGAACUCAAAAAGAUGUUCUGGCUUGUACAGCUGUUAGUGAUAAAGUUAAGAAGCAAAUGUGAAAUGUUGUGAUUGGGUUGCAAGUGAAUUUGAUGAAAAAACAAGCAUGGAUGGGGCAAGCCCAGGUGAAGCUACUAAAGAAGUUGACAUUACCGGUGAAAAGAAAGGGAAAAGAAUUAGAUGACAACAUAUUCAAGAAAACACGCAUUAAUACUCAAACAACAAUCAACAAUAUUUUUAAGAAGAAUUUGAGAGAGGAAGUAUGUUUAGAAAUUAGUACUUUUUUCUACAACAAUGGUAUCCCUUUUAAUGUAUCAAGGAGUGAGGAAUACAGUAGAAUGUUUGAGAAAGCUAUAAGAUAUGGACAAGGAUUCAAGCCACCAUCCUACCAUGAAUUAAGGGUGCCUCUUUUGAA
This is a non-coding RNA of Arachis ipaensis, 1169 nucleotides long. NCBI's taxonomy places the organism in Eukaryota, Viridiplantae, Streptophyta, Magnoliopsida, Fabales, Fabaceae. The record is from RefSeq and is a predicted model, not a curated record.